RNAcentral lists this ribosomal RNA (449 nucleotides) under uncultured bacterium. RNAcentral's name for it is "partial 16S ribosomal RNA". It matches the Rfam family "Bacterial small subunit ribosomal RNA", at positions 29 to 523 of the family's 1533-position model. The record is from RNAcentral.
AACGAACGCUGGCGGCAGGCUUAACACAUGCAAGUCGAACGCAUCCUUCGGGGUGAGUGGCAGACGGGUGAGUAACGCGUGGGAACGUGCCCUUCAGUUCGGGAUAACCCAGGGAAACUUGGGCUAAUACCGGAUACGUGCUAGAGCAGAAAGAUUUAUCGCUGAAGGAUCGGCCCGCGUCUGAUUAGCUAGUUGGUGGGGUAAUGGCCCACCAAGGCGACGAUCAGUAGCUGGUCUGAGAGGAUGAUCAGCCACAUUGGGACUGAGACACGGCCCAAACUCCUACGGGAGGCAGCAAUGGGGAAUAUUGGACAAUGGGCGCAAGCCUGAUCCAGCCAUGCCGCGUGAGUGAUGAAGGCCUUAGGGUUGUAAAGCUCUUUCGUCCGGGACGAUAAUGACGGUACCGGAAGAAGAAGCCCCGGCUAACUUCGUGCCAGCAGCCGCCGCAG